AAUUUUGGACAAUGGGGGAAACCCUGAUCCAGCCAUCCCGCGUGUAUGAUGAAGGCCUUCGGGUUGUAAAGUACUGUUGGUAGAGAAGAAAAGGUACCUCCUAAUACGAGGUACUGCUGACGGUAUCUGCCGAAUCAGCACCGGCUAACGACGUGCCAGUAGCAGCGGUAAUACGUAGGGUGCAAGCGUUAAUGGGAAUUACUGGGCGUAAAGAGUGUGUAGGCGGUUCGGAAAGAAAUAUGUGAAAUCCCAGGGCUCAACCUUGGAACUGCAUUUUUAACAGCCGAGCUAGAGUAUGUCAGAGGGGGGUAGAAUUCCACGUGUAGCAGUGAAAUGCGUAGAUAUGUGGAGGAAUACCGAUGGCGAAGGCAGCCCCCUGGGAUAAUACUGACGCUCAGACACGAAAGCGUGGGGAGCAAACAG
RNAcentral lists this ribosomal RNA (423 nucleotides) under uncultured bacterium. RNAcentral's name for it is "partial 16S ribosomal RNA". It matches the Rfam family "Bacterial small subunit ribosomal RNA", at positions 360 to 775 of the family's 1533-position model. The record is from RNAcentral.